UACGUAGGGUGCAAGCGUUGUCCGGAAUUAUUGGGCGUAAAGAGCUCGUAGGCGGUCUGUCGCGUCUGCUGUGAAAACUCAGGGCUUAACCCUGAGCUUGCAGUGGGUACGGGCAGACUAGAGUGCGGUAGGGGAGACUGGAAUUCCUGGUGUAGCGGUGAAAUGCGCAGAUAUCAGGAGGAACACCGGUGGCGAAGGCGGGUCUCUGGGCCACUACUGACGCUGAGAAGCGAAAGCAUGGGGAGCAAACAGG
Molecule: ribosomal RNA, 253 nt
Filed under: uncultured bacterium
Lineage: Bacteria
Description: partial 16S ribosomal RNA
Rfam family: Bacterial small subunit ribosomal RNA
Source: RNAcentral